AUGCAUCGCCACGUCCCAGCGAGAGCAGUCAUCAUGGCUCAAGGAGGAGGAGGGCCGCCGGAGAAGAACGCUAGGAGCGCCGGAACCGCCGCCGGCCGGCAAGCUCGUGCAGCAGCUGGUGGAGGGCGCGCCGGGUGGGGUCCCGGGGAGGAGAGGCGCAACAAGGACGGCGCGCCCGCCGCGAGGAAGCCGGCUGGGGAGCAGCACAACGGCUGGGAAGGGCCCCGGUCCAAUUGGAGGCAGACCGGGACGACGAGCCACGAGCCGGGACGAGGCCACUCGCGGCAGCAGCAAGCUGAGGAAGAGCCGCCGGGAGCCGCCGUGGGAGGCCGGCUCCGCCGGUGGGGGCUACUGGCGCCGCCAGGGACGGAUCUGGGGGAUGUGGCGGGUCAGGAGGCCCGCUGA
RNAcentral lists this ribosomal RNA (405 nucleotides) under Triticum aestivum (bread wheat). RNAcentral's name for it is "partial small subunit ribosomal RNA". Lineage: Eukaryota; Viridiplantae; Streptophyta; Magnoliopsida; Poales; Poaceae. The record is from RNAcentral.